Molecule: ribosomal RNA, 253 nt
Filed under: uncultured bacterium
Lineage: Bacteria
Description: partial 16S ribosomal RNA
Rfam family: Bacterial small subunit ribosomal RNA
Source: RNAcentral
UACAGAGGUCCCGAGCGUUGUUCGGAUUCACUGGGCGUAAAGGGUGCGUAGGUGGUUGGGUAAGUUUGAUGUGAAAGCUCAGGGCUUAACCCUGAAAUGGCAUUGAAUACUACUUGACUGGAGGUUUGGAGGGGGGACUGGAAUUCUUGGUGUAGCAGUGAAAUGCGUAGAUAUCAAGAGGAACACCAGUGGCGAAGGCGAGUCCCUGGACAACACCUGACACUGAGGCACGAAAGCUAGGGGAGCAAACAGG